Molecule: long non-coding RNA, 1945 nt
Organism: Canis lupus familiaris (dog)
Lineage: Eukaryota; Metazoa; Chordata; Mammalia; Carnivora; Canidae
Exons: 7
Source: RefSeq, a predicted model, not a curated record
CACGAGGUGUUCAGGAAGAGCCACCCCUUCUCCAAAGACCCGCAGAGGAAGGGGAGCAGCUGUGUGGCUGUCUGAGUGGUGGGAAUCCGGCAGAGGGAAGAGGGAGCAGCAGGGACCCAGUGAGGUUCUCUGCCAAGUGGUGGGGAAGAGAGGAAGUCAGGACGAGAAAGCUCACCAUCUCCAGGAAAUGAACACCAGAGAACAUCUCCACCAUCUUAAGCGGCAGAAAAGCUGAAAGGCGUAAGAGGAACGAUAAUGUGCUAUGGGCCACAUAUUCACAGCAGUUGUUGGUAACCCAGGCCGACCUGUCCGUCAGAAUCACUGGAGCUGCGAUACUGCACCACCCUAUGGCAUCUGGUCCACCUGGUGGGGCCUGGACAUCUGCAAUUUUUAGUGCCCUGGAGAUCCCAGGAGGCAGCAAGGAAGAGACCACAAUCUACAACCUCUCAGGAACACUGUAGGAUGAACUGGCCAACAGGGCAGACACCCAGAAGAUACAACCAUCAUCUGUCUCAUGGAAGCCACUGUUGGGGCCUUGGGCACAGCCGCUGAGCCUUUAAUCUGGCCAAUAUACACUUUGCCCAGGAAGCCACUGGAGGACGUGUUCCACCUAAACUAGUGAAGAGGAAAAUCAACAAUCUGUGAACCAGAGCAUCCAACUGAGGAGAGCUGUGCAGAGCAGGUGCAAGGAACGAGCAGUCCAACUUGAAGUGGGCGGAGGAUGGCUCUCUCCAGGGAACGCAUACUGAGCGGCUACCUGUUGUAGACGAGAAGGCACCCACUUCAGAGGAGGCCGAGGAGGACAGCGGGCAAGGAAGACCCUCUGGAGAACGGAUGGGCUGAGGAGCCCCCGACCCUGUCACCCAGAGAGCAGGCCCCCUGUGAGCACAUCAGUCCUGGGAACAUGCUGCCUUCCUGCCAAAGGGGCGUGAGCAGAAGUGCCACCUGCUGUUUUCAGGCCCAGCCCAUCCAAACCUCCGCUGUGUGAGCCCCUGUGCUCUUUCCCCUUCUGAGGUAACCCAGAAAGCUGCCAGAGGCAGGGCUACAAAACGGAGUCCACCUUAUUUGCAGGACACCCCCUGAUUUGGAACACCCGGUUUGGACUUUAUGAGAAAUAAACCUCUACUAAGUUAGGCACUAGGACUUUAGGGUUUAGCAGCUUGAGAGGCCACCACAGAUGGCACUGAUUAACACAGUGCCAUGUGUGUGAACCUCAACCUCAUGACAAUGUCCAGAACCUGAGCAAGGUCUCCAGGGCAGCAACGGGAGAGGUCAUAAACACACACAAAAUUCCCUUUACUGUGAUUCCAGCCAAGGAGACAGAGGCAGAGAGAUUAACCCUCAUGGGGCAGAGGUGGGAUUCAGACCUGGGCAGUCCAACUCCAGACAACGUGCCACUCACCACCCUGCCUCUGCCUCCUUACACUUCGCUCCCUCCCCAGAACAAAUGCUGAUGGGCUCAGGAUGAUGGGGCCUGGUCAGGUCCUGGGAGACCUCAGAUGGACAUCGAGCACUCUCAGGGGCAGCCGGGCAGGGGCUGACCACAGGGAGGCAGAGCGUGGGCCCAGCCCAGCAACCAGAGCCGGGCUUCUUUGUCACAAACCCGACAGCCCUCAAAUGGCUCCAGGUGGCCAAAGAGUCCCUACAUAGUCAAAGCUGGACAUCUGACAGCCAUGGAUCAAACAGUUCAAGGAUUUAUCCCCAGACACGGAACUACAGGAUCCCGGGGGGCCCUGCCAAGGUGAGGACAGAGCAGUUGCCUGCAUGCCCCCCACACCCUCACUCUGCUGGGUUCCCAGCCGGUCCUACAGGUUGCACACUUGUGGGAACGCAAACCAAAGCUGAGAGAGUCCAGUGGAGCUCUCCUAAUGGAUGGCACGAGUUUGGACCCAAGAAGUUAAGAAUAAAUGUGAAUAUAAAACCUGACACAAAAACUGGGGUAUCU